GGCUGCACCCGUUCCCAUUCCGAACACGGCCGUGAAAC
RNAcentral lists this ribosomal RNA (38 nucleotides) under Rhizobium sp. YS-1r. Lineage: Bacteria; Pseudomonadati; Pseudomonadota; Alphaproteobacteria; Hyphomicrobiales; Rhizobiaceae. The record is from RNAcentral.